This 600-nucleotide ribosomal RNA is filed under the name Candida albicans. RNAcentral describes it as "LSU rRNA". It matches the Rfam family "Eukaryotic large subunit ribosomal RNA", at positions 78 to 691 of the family's 3401-position model. Lineage: Eukaryota; Fungi; Ascomycota; Pichiomycetes; Serinales; Debaryomycetaceae. The record is from RNAcentral.
CCUCAGUAGCGGCGAGUGAAGCGGCAAAAGCUCAAAUUUGAAAUCUGGCGUCUUUGGCGUCCGAGUUGUAAUUUGAAGAAGGUAUCUUUGGGCCCGGCUCUUGUCUAUGUUCCUUGGAACAGGACGUCACAGAGGGUGAGAAUCCCGUGCGAUGAGAUGACCCGGGUCUGUGUAAAGUUCCUUCGACGAGUCGAGUUGUUUGGGAAUGCAGCUCUAAGUGGGUGGUAAAUUCCAUCUAAAGCUAAAUAUUGGCGAGAGACCGAUAGCGAACAAGUACAGUGAUGGAAAGAUGAAAAGAACUUUGAAAAGAGAGUGAAAAAGUACGUGAAAUUGUUGAAAGGGAAGGGCUUGAGAUCAGACUUGGUAUUUUGCAUGUUGCUCUCUCGGGGGCGGCCGCUGCGGUUUACCGGGCCAGCAUCGGUUUGGAGCGGCAGGAUAAUGGCGGAGGAAUGUGGCACGGCUUCUGCUGUGUGUUAUAGCCUCUGACGAUACUGCCAGCCUAGACCGAGGACUGCGGUUUUUUACCUAGGAUGUUGGCAUAAUGAUCUUAAGUCGCCCGUCUUGAAACACGGACCAAGGGAGUCUAACGUCUAUGCGAGU